CUUGAGAACAUGUUACCACAAAGAGCAGACCUUCAAAGCAGCCACAGAGGGAUAAAUCUCACUUGCGAAUUUUUCUGAACCCAAAUUAAAAAGCCUAAGGACACAGGUCUCCUUGGUGACAUUUUCUCAACAAUGAAACUGCAAGUCCUUCCCUUCCUUCCCAAGUGAGCCACAUGGACACAGUACCCAUCUGAUGGGAACUAAGUACCCAUCUGUGAUAGGGAGGAAAAGUGGUUACAAAGCAGGCUGGCUGAAAAACAAAACAAAACAGAAAAGAAACAAGAUGUAUCAUGCACAUGUACCCACUCCCCAAGAUGAUUGUAAAUUAUAGCACUACAA
RNAcentral lists this long non-coding RNA (339 nucleotides) under Heterocephalus glaber (naked mole-rat). RNAcentral's name for it is "lncRNA (ENSHGLG00100031208.2)". The record is from RNAcentral. Lineage: Eukaryota; Metazoa; Chordata; Mammalia; Rodentia; Bathyergidae.